AGUUUCCUGAAGGAACGUUGAAGACGACGACGUUGAUAGGCCGGGUGUGUAAGCGCAGCGAUGCGUUGAGCUAACCGGUACUAAUGAACCGUGAGGCUUAACCUUACAACGCCGAAG
This 117-nucleotide ribosomal RNA is filed under the name Salmonella enterica. RNAcentral's name for it is "partial 23S ribosomal RNA". The stretch from base 1 to 105 matches the Rfam family "Bacterial large subunit ribosomal RNA", at positions 2821 to 2925 of the family's 2925-position model. Lineage: Bacteria; Pseudomonadati; Pseudomonadota; Gammaproteobacteria; Enterobacterales; Enterobacteriaceae. RNAcentral also lists the same sequence under 1 other name. The record is from RNAcentral.